GAUGAACGCUGGCGGCGCGCCUAAUACAUGCAAGUCGAGCGAAUGGAUUAAGAGCUUGCUCUUAUGAAGUUAGCGGCGGACGGGUGAGUAACACGUGGGUAACCUGCCCAUAAGACUGGGAUAACUCCGGGAAACCGGGGCUAAUACCGGAUAACAUUUUGAACCGCAUGGUUCGAAAUUGAAAGGCGGCUUCGGCUGUCACUUAUGGAUGGACCCGCGUCGCAUUAGCUAGUUGGUGAGGUAACGGCUCACCAAGGCAACGAUGCGUAGCCGACCGGAGAGGGUGAUCGGCCACACUGGGACUGAGACACGGCCCAGACUCCUACGGGAGGAAGCAGUAGGGAAUCUUCCGCAAUGGACGAAAGUCUGACGGAGCAACGCCGCGUGAGUGAUGAAGGCUUUCGGGUCGUAAAACUCUGUUGUUAGGGAAGAACAAGUGCUAGUUGAAUAAGCUGGCACCUUGACGGUACCUAACCAGAAAGCCACGGCUAACUACGUGCCAGCAGCCGCCGUAA
This 515-nucleotide ribosomal RNA is filed under the name uncultured bacterium. Its description in RNAcentral is "partial 16S ribosomal RNA". It matches the Rfam family "Bacterial small subunit ribosomal RNA", at positions 28 to 523 of the family's 1533-position model. The record is from RNAcentral.